AAUCAGUUGUUCCUUUUAGAAACCUUUUGCUAAGUCUUAGCUAAAACACUCGAACGCACCGUCUCGGGGAGGUCAAGAAUAGACUACACCUCCAGUCCUGACAGACUGAAAUUUUCUAGGCCUUUUCCAAGUAGCUACAGCGAUGAUCUCAUUUCGGAACAAUGUGAAGUUAUACACCCUAUCCUGAGCCUGUUUUCCCAUCCUAGAUAAGUGUUAACUUUCACCGUUAGCUCACAUUAUUUCCUGAUGAUGCCUACGUGUACUCCACACCUGUGAUGUUGGUGCACGUGCACGGCCUCACCUUCACAACGGCGAAAUGGUUCAAACAAGUAGCCUACCUGGCAGACUAAGUUUUGGUCUCAUCACAUAGGUGAUUCUCAUGAAACUUCGCAGACUGCUGACAAGAGCAAGAGGCGGGGCGCUCCUCCACACGGGACGGGGGGGUGUGUCGAAAACCCAGACCCCCUCACGAUUCGGUGUAGACCGAGGAGAUCUGACUCAGGCAGCGGUCAAAGCCGCCCACCUGGAAGAAGACGUUCUCCUCAGGGCUGGGGGAGAAGCCCUGGCCGCCCACCGCCUGGAUGUCCUGGACCAAGCUGAACCCUGCGAAGCACCACAACUCAAUCAGAAAGAACGCUUGAAGACACCGAUAGCAAAGCAAACCUGGGUCUUUUAAAAAUUCCUAUGACUUAUGAGUGGGUUGUUUUUUUUCUUGUUGAAACUCUGUGUGGUUACCGGUUAAAACCUGGGCAACAUUUUAGCCCCCGGGCCACAAGUAGGUACCCUGGAGUUACAAGUUCAACCUCCAGGCUACAGGUCAUUCACACACUGGGGUGCGCCGUACAGGGGUGGUGGGCGGGGGUGGGGGUUACCAUGAUUCCAAGGGUCCUGACUAAUAGGGACCCUCAAAAAAAACAUUAGAACAUAGGAUUUUAUGGGGUGGUGUAAGAUGUUUUCAUGGGGCCCAAAAUCCCUGGUGGUGAACUGUCUGGUUCACACAGACAGAUUUUUCCUAGUAUUAUUCAUCUAAUCUAAUUUUUAAGUCUUAAACCAGUAUGUGGCUGAGCACAGUUCAAUAUUAUGGCUACAGACUAUCCUCCACAGCUAUAGAUUGCCCUGGCAGAAAUGACACACUGUAGCUACAGGUCAGAGGCCUGGUUGCAGUGUUCUUCUUCUGUGGUAUCACUCUUGUUCUUCUAACACUCCCACAGCGAGCUCUGGCCAAGUGCUGGACAUCCACGCUGGAUAAGAGCUAGCUUCUCUCCCAGCACAACCCUUUUUUCCCGUUCCCAUCUCUUCCACUUGGGGAUGCGAAACUAUGACAAGCAUGCUUUCACCUCAUCACUUCCAGAGCUAGGCUUGAAACGCGAUGCUGACACGAGCUCACAAAGUGGAGUGAAAAGCCUCUGGAACUCUCCAGAUCUCCCCAGCACGACAUGCAAAGGAUGAUGGAAGGUCGAUACGAAACACGGAGGAGAGAAAAAAAAUCUUGGCAAGGACGCUCAAAAGGAGGACUUAAGCUGAAGCGGGCCUGACAUUCGCUAUAAAAGACAUAAAUAAAAGAGCUCGGUCAUUAUAUCAUGCAUCUGGUCUGAAAAAGUCAUUGAAAAUCCUUUAUGUAAAAACUGCUGCGCUUAGCUAAACACUUGUGCCGCUGGUGGAUAGCAGCAGUAAGUAAAAAAAAAUGUUGUACACCACUGCCAAAAUCUCACAUGCUUACAAUGUCAAAAUACCUGCAUGGUAUUUUUAAUUUUAAACUCUUUACGAAUGCUUUUGAAUUUUAAAAAUAAAUAUAUUUUGUCGUUAUGAA
Long non-coding RNA from Anguilla rostrata (American eel), 1810 nucleotides. RefSeq lists it as uncharacterized. NCBI's taxonomy places the organism in Eukaryota, Metazoa, Chordata, Actinopteri, Anguilliformes, Anguillidae. The record is from RefSeq and is a predicted model, not a curated record. The transcript has 3 exons.